GACGAACGCUGGCGGCGUGCCUAAUACAUGCAAGUUGAGCGCUGAAGGAUGGUGCUUGUGCCAACUGGAUGAGCAGCGAACGGGUGAGUAACGCGUGGGGAAUCUGCCUUUGAGCGGGGGACAACAUUGGGAAACGAAUGCUAAUACCGCAUAAAAACUUUAAACACAAGAUUUAAGUUUGAAAGAUGCAAUGGCAUCACUCAAAGGUGAUUCCGCGAUGUAUUAGCUAGUUGGUGAGGUAAAGGCCCACCAAGGCGAUGAUACAUAGCCGACCUGAGAGGGUGGUCGGCCACAUUGGGACUGAGACACGGCCCAAACUCCUACGGGAGGCAGCAGUAGGGAAUCUUCGGCAAUGGACGGAAGUCUGAACGAGCAACGCCGCGUGAGUGAAGAAGGGUUUCGGAUCGUAAAACUCUGUUGGUAGAGAAGAACGUUGGUGAGAGUGGAAAGCUCAUCAAGUGACGGUAACUACCCAGAAAGCAACGGCUAACUACGUG
This 497-nucleotide ribosomal RNA is filed under the name uncultured bacterium. RNAcentral describes it as "partial 16S ribosomal RNA". It matches the Rfam family "Bacterial small subunit ribosomal RNA", at positions 28 to 507 of the family's 1533-position model. The record is from RNAcentral.